AGACACCUUUUUUGGAGCAAGUGAUAUUUAAAGAUAGUGACCAGAGAUGAAAAAUGGAUUAUUUAUAAUAAUGUUGAACGGAAAAGAUCUUGAGAAAGCGGAUUGAAUCACCUUUAGCCAUCGCAGAAGUCGAUCUCCAUCCGAAAAAAGCCAUGCUUUGUGUCUGGUGGGACUGGAAAGGAAUCCUGUAUUAUGAACUUUUACCAAACAACCAAACAAUAUAUUUGGAAAAGUAUUGCUCGCAAUUAAACAAAUUGAAGACAGCAAAUUGAACAAAAACGUUCAGAACUACCAAAUCCGAAGGGCGUCGCGUUUCGUGAGGACAAUGCGCGGCCUCGUGUCUCUCUGACUACUCGACAAAAGCUGUUGACCAUGGUUGGGAUAUGUUACCCCACCCACGGAUUCACCAGACAUUACAUCCUUAGAUUUUUACAUAUCUAGAUCAGUACAAAAUUCCCUUAACGGCAAAAACUUUAACUCUUUGCAUAUAAAAAAUCAUAUUCUAAAGUUUAUAGCCGAAAAACCUGAGAAGUUCUGAAAGGAUGAAAUAUUCAAGUUGCAUGAUAGAUGGAUAGAGGUUGUGUAAGAAAGGGAACAAAUGGUAGACACCUAUAUAAUUCGAUAAAUGUAUAUCAAAAUUUAAAUGCGCUGCGUUUGAACUUUCCCAAGAACUACGACCAUCUAAUUUGUUUAUUUCAUAUCCAUGACGUUAAUUUUAUUAAUGAUCUCUCAU
Molecule: long non-coding RNA, 733 nt
Organism: Bombus impatiens (common eastern bumble bee)
Lineage: Eukaryota; Metazoa; Arthropoda; Insecta; Hymenoptera; Apidae
Exons: 3
Source: RefSeq, a predicted model, not a curated record